GGACUGAAACACGGCCCAUACUCCUACGGGAGGCAGCAGCAGGGAAUAUUGCACAAUAGGCGAAAGCCUGAUGCAGCGACGCCGCGUGAGUGAAGAAGGCCUUCGGGUCGUAAAGCUCUUUUGUAGGGGAAGAGGAAGGACGGUACCCUAAGAAGAAGCGUCGGCUAACUACGUGCCAGCAGCCGCGGUAAGACGUAGGACGCGAGCGUUAUCCGGAAUUACUGGGCGUAAAGGGCCAGCAGGCGGCUUGGUAAGUUGUGCGUGAAAGCCUCGUGCUCAACGCGAGGAAGCCGGACAAUACUGUCAAGCUAGAGGGCAUCAGAGGGGAGUGGAAUUCCCGGAGUAGCGGUAAAAUGCGCAGAUAUCGGGAGGAACACCGAUGGCGAAGGCAGCUCCCUGGGAUGCACCUGACGCUAAGAGGCGAAAGCUAGGGGAGCGAACAGGAUUAGAGACCCUGGUAGUCCUAGCUGUAAACGCUGGGUGCUAGGUGUGGGACGUAGAAGUUCCGUGCCGGAGCAAACGCGAUAAGCACCCCGCCUGGGAAUUACGGUCGCAAGGCUAAAACUCAAACGAAUUGACGGGGCCCCGCACAAGCAGCGGAGCGUGUGGUUCAAUUCGAUGCUACACGAAGAACCUUACCUGGGUUUGACAUGUACGUGGUACGAAGGCGAAAGCCUAAGGACCCUUCGGGGAGCGUACACAGGUGCUGCAUGGCUGUCGUCAGCUCGUGCCGUGAGGUGUCGGGUUAAGUCCCGUAACGAGCGCAACCCUUGCCCUUAGUUACAAGUGUCUAAGGGGACUGCCGGCGGGAAGCCGGAGGAAGGUGGGGAUGACGUCAAGUCAGCAUGGCCCUUAUGUCCAGGGCUACACACACGCUACAAUGGUCAGUACAAAGGGUAGCGAAGUCGCGAGGCGGAGCGAAUCUCAACAAAGCUGAUCGUAGUUCGGAUUGCAGGCUGCAACCCGCCUGCAUGAAGCUGGAGUUGCUAGUAACCGCGCGUCAGCCAUAGUGCGGUGAAUACGUACCCGGGGCUUGUACACACCGCCCGUCACGUCAUGGGAGUCGGUAACGCCUGAAGCCGGUAGCCUGGCCCGCAAGGGGGACGCUGUCGAAGG
RNAcentral lists this ribosomal RNA (1116 nucleotides) under uncultured organism. RNAcentral's name for it is "bacterial SSU rRNA". It matches the Rfam family "Bacterial small subunit ribosomal RNA", at positions 316 to 1462 of the family's 1533-position model. The record is from RNAcentral.